RNAcentral lists this transfer RNA (72 nucleotides) under Perca fluviatilis (European perch). Its description in RNAcentral is "tRNA-Lys". Lineage: Eukaryota; Metazoa; Chordata; Actinopteri; Perciformes; Percidae. The record is from RNAcentral.
UCCCUGGUGGACUAGUGGUUAGGAAUCGGCGCGCUUACCGCCACGGCCUGGGUUUGUUUCCCGGUCAGGGAA